UAAUCCGCUAAUACGUGGCUUUCAGGGAAAAGGAAAACGUAUUGUUUAUUAUGCCAGCUGAUUGUACAUCGUGUGGCGAAUCUAUCUAACGAUGACGUCACUCGGGUAUUCUCGAAUUCCGUGGACCAACGUUUCCGCCAACUCUUUUCCAAAGAGAAGCACUAUUCACGGGAAGCCACUCACCUAGAUGGAGAUCAACUUCCGAAAAAACACGAGACUCCAAAAAAACCCGAAAAUGAUCGAAUCCUUUCCAACAGUGGUCAACCGUGGAGUUUUGAAUCGGCUAUUCGCAAGCGUGGUCGAGACUGUAUGAAAAAAUGUAUUGCUCAGAGGGUCCUCCACCCAGUCCAGUGUUACUCUUUAUGUUAACACCAGCAUGUUUCGGUGUUGUCUUCGAUUUAUUAGUGUCUUCUCCUUUCCAGUAGAAAUGAAGCUAGAGGUCUCCACAUCAAGAAAGUUUAGAGUAACAGCUCAUGUACAUCCAAAAUAAACUUCCGAAUGAUCUCGGAAA
This is a long non-coding RNA of Limulus polyphemus (Atlantic horseshoe crab), 511 nucleotides long. RefSeq lists it as uncharacterized. The record is from RefSeq and is a predicted model, not a curated record. Lineage: Eukaryota; Metazoa; Arthropoda; Merostomata; Xiphosura; Limulidae. The transcript is spliced from 3 exons.